RNAcentral lists this ribosomal RNA (384 nucleotides) under marine copepod environmental sample. RNAcentral's name for it is "partial small subunit ribosomal RNA". It matches the Rfam family "Eukaryotic small subunit ribosomal RNA", at positions 587 to 972 of the family's 1831-position model. The record is from RNAcentral. Lineage: Eukaryota; Metazoa; Arthropoda; Copepoda.
AGCUCCAAUAGCGUAUAUUAAAGUUGUUGCGGUUAAAAAGCUCGUAGUUGGAUCUCGGCGGGCAGAAGGCGGUAUACUUUUUAUUGUUACUGCCUUUUUUCCCCUAGUUUUUUCUCGAGGUUUCCGGGGGCUCUUUAUCGGGUGUUCUGGGAUGCUAGCAGGUUUACUUUGAAAAAAUUAGAGUGCUCAAAGCAGGCUACUACGCUUGAAUAUUCGUGCAUGGAAUAAUAGAAUAGGAAGUCGUUUCUAUUUUGUUGGUUUUCGGAAAUCGACUUAAUGAUUAAUAGGGACAGUCGGGGGCAUUUGUAUUCAAACGACAGAGGUGAAAUUCUUGGACCGUUUGAAGACAAACUACUGCGAAAGCAUUUGCCAAGAAUGUUUUCA